This 2859-nucleotide long non-coding RNA is filed under the name Sus scrofa (pig). RNAcentral describes it as "lncRNA (ENSSSCG00065048462.1)". The record is from RNAcentral. Lineage: Eukaryota; Metazoa; Chordata; Mammalia; Artiodactyla; Suidae.
UUUUUUUUUUUUUUUUUUUUUUUGGUCUUUUUGCCUUUUCUUGGGCCACUCCCGAGGCAUAUGGAGGUUCCCAGGCUAGGGGUCUAAUUGGAGAUGUAGCCACAGGCCUACGCCAGAGACACAGCAACAUGGGAUCCGAGCCGCAUCUGCGACUUACACCACAGCUCACGGCAACGCUGGAUCCUUAACCCACUGAGCAAGGGCAGGGAUGGAACCCGCAACCUCAUGGUUCCUAGUCGGAUUCGUUAACCACUGCGCCACAAUGGGAACUUCUCAAACUGAAUUUUAAAAUCACAUUAACUAAAAUAGUGUGAUCUUGACACAGGAAGAGACUAAUGGAUGGAUCUACAGGCUAAGAAAUCUAAAAACAUGUAUUUUCACAUAUAUAAUUGUUACUACGGGAUGGGAUUUCAAAUUAGAAAAGAAAAAAUUCAAAGAAGAAGUAAAAGACCACAAUACAAAAAAUAAGUGUCACAUGGACCAAAAUCUAAAUCACUUGAAAGAAUGAACAAAAGAAAAAAAGGCACAACUUAGAAUAGAUUUACAAGGAAAUCCUGCUGAAUAGCAUUGAGAACUUUGUCUAGAUACUCAUGUUGCAACAGAACAAAGGGUGGGGGAAAAAAUGUAAUUGUAAUGUAUACAUGUAAGGAUAACCUGACCCCCUUGCUGUACAGUGGGAAAAUAAUUUAAAAAAAAAAGAAAAAAAGGAAACAUUAAAUUAGACAAAAAUACAGAAAAAGGAGUUCCCAUCAUGGCACAGCGGAAACGAAUCCGACUAGGAACCAUAAGGUUGCGGGUUCGAUACGUGGCCUCGCUCAGUGGGUUAAGGACCCGGCAUUGCUGUGAGCUGUUCUGUAGGUCGCAGACAUGGCUCAGAUCUGGCACUGCUGUGGCUGUGGCGCAGGCCAGGAGCUGUAGCUCCAAUUAGACCCCUAGCCUGGGAACCUCCAUAUGCCGUGUGUGCAGCCAAAAAACUUUUUUUAAUUUUAAAAUAACAUUGGAAGGCACGGCUUUCCCAUCAUCUUCUCUGAUUACUGUAAAUAACUAGCAAUUAGAAUCAGAAUUUGUUUCUUCAUCUUUUUAGGGCUGUACCCACAGCACAUGGAAAUUCCCAGGCUAGGGGUCAAAUUGGAGUUGCAGCUGCUGGCCUAUGCCACAGCCACAGAAAAACCAGAUCUGAGCCACAUGUGCUACCUACACCACAGCUCACAGCAACACUGGAUCCUUAACCCACUGAAAGAGGCCAGUGAUCAAACCCACAUCCUCACAGACACUGUGUCGGGUUCUUAGCCCACUGAGCCACAAGGGGAACUCCUAGAAUCAGAAUUUAUUUGAGGAACAGAACACUGGCUGUGUACCUAACAUAAGAAAACUACAUUUUUAAAACAAAUUUCUACUGUUAACAAUUAUCAUUCAACAUAGAAUGUCAUAGGUAUCUGAACUGCACUGAAUGAAUGCUAUGAUUUGAUAUCUGAACUAUACUAUUGGUUCUCAGAUGGUUUGCCUACAUUUCUUUUCCAUUCUAUAUUAAACUGAGAAGGUAUGAAGAAGCAGAAUUAUCUCAUUUAAUUUUAGCUCUCCCUUCUGGGCCCUCUCUAUAUAUAACAAAUGAAGUAGCCAGUUUUUUAAAAAGUCAAAAUCAAAAUGCUCUUACAACCAAGGGGGUCUUCAAGUUGAUGAAAACAGGGAAAUUGGGAUUGACAUAACAGGAAGGACAAUUAGAUAAAUUCCCAGUUCUCUGAAUCUUCAUAAAUGACUAGAUUUAUUUGAAGUGUUUUAUAUUCUCAAAAUAGGAACAACCAGAUAAAAGAGAUAAUUUAUGUCCCUAGUAAGAAGUACUUUACAGUGAAGUAUUUGUACUACUUAUUAGCUGAUACUAAAAAAUUGGCCUCCCGCUGAAAUUUUCAAUAACAUACUAAUAUACAGUCAGCUAGUUAACACAUUCUCGAUAAUUUUUAGUUACUUGAUGAUUAAUAAAAGUAAUUAGUCUUCUAACCCAUUCUAUGGUGAUUUCACAGUAAAACCACUAACUAAAACACAAACUUAAAUUUUAAUUGACUAAAAUUUACCUUCUUGGCCUUCAUGACAAGGUUGUUAUCUUAUAAAAGCAAACUCUUUUCUCCGUGAAAUAAGAUUAAAAUUCUUCACUUUCUGUACAGAAAACUAGAACUUUCUCUAAAUGAAACAAAAACAGACUAUUAAAACAGUUUAGGGAACAAAAACUCACAGGUAACAUUUAUGACAUAACUCAAUGACAAGAAUCCUCACAAACUCUACAGUACAGGGCAGGCAAGGACAAACCACCAGCAGCCAGAAGACAGUAUUACUAAUGACUAUGCCAAAGAAAGCAGAGAAAGCAAUGGGAUGCCUGCGGGCUGGCAGAACAGGAGAACUCCCAGAGCCCUCUGGAAAGUCAGUAGAAAGCACAAUGGACCAAUCUCAGGUUAGCAACUGAAACUCAAAGGGGCUCUGCCCAGUCCAAUAGUAGGUGAGUGCACGUCUGAAAGGGCUGCAGCAGUUUGUCUCCAUGGACUCUUGAAACUGACCCUCCAGGACCCCCUUCCAGGACACGGAUCCACAAUGAGGAGAAAAUGCUUUGAGUGGAAUCAAAAUUAGGCAAAACAGGAACCACAAAGAAAGAAAGAGCAGGUCUAGAUAAAACUGAUAGAGAGGAAUUAGGAAACCCCAGAAAGCAAGCUGUCUGUGCAAAAACCACCAUAGAAGCUGUACAACAGAAGAAGUAUUAUGGGGGAGGGGGAACAAAUUAAAUUAACCCUCCUUCGAAGAGAUGAAGAAAAUUAACUUCACAUAAAAAUGAACAAAAGGGAGUUUCCACUGUGGCACAGCAGAAACAAAUCU